This 787-nucleotide long non-coding RNA is filed under the name Rattus norvegicus (Norway rat). RNAcentral describes it as "long non-coding RNA NONRATT008223". The record is from RNAcentral. Lineage: Eukaryota; Metazoa; Chordata; Mammalia; Rodentia; Muridae.
ACUAUUCCUCAGAAAUGCCAGUACAAGUCUGGCCCAGAUUCAAAGAAGCCUUAGGCAAGGGUGCAGAGAAAGAAAGGAUAGGGAAGAAAGCCUUUUCCCUGUGUCAUUUAGGUCUGCAUGGAGGGUUGGGGGAGCUGGAGGAAAGAAAGAGCAAGGUAUACAAGGACCUCAAUGGUCAAGUGACUCCUCCGACAGCAAGGGGCGGAGCCUCAUGAGCACAUCUUGUGGAGUUUCAGUGCUCUUACAGCGUUUUCCAUCAGGCGGUCUCAAACCAGGCGGAGCCUCUGUGUAUGCGUGGGUCAUCGCGGGUCAUCAUGGGUCAUUGUGGAUUACAGUGGGUUAUCAUGCCUUUUCAACCUUAAAUCUCGGGCCUUCCCAGAGGUGAAUCAUGGACAGCAAUGGCUCUGGGCAGGCAGUGUGCUCAAAGGAACCUGAGUUCCACUUCAGCUUUCUUCAUUCAUUCAUGAAUUCAGUUGUCAGUUUGUACUCAGUGCCUGAUGUUGGGCUUCUGUUUAAAUCCCAGUUCACUUCUUAAAACUUCAAUUUAUGGUCUGCGUUACACAGGUAGCUGCGUCCGGGCUAGAGAGAUGGCUCCGCGGUUAAGGGCACUGGCUGCUCUUGUAGUUCAAUUCCCCACACCAACAACAUAGCUGCAACCAUCUGUAACUCCAGUUCCAGGAAGUCCAACACUCUCUUCUGGCCUCCACGGGUACUGCAUACGUGUGUCAUAAAGACAAAAACAUAGGCAAAACAUAUACACACAUGAAAUAAAAUGAAAAAAAUAGCA